UACAGUGUUUAAAAGGGAUGAUGUGAACUGGGUGUGGUAGCUCAUGUCUGUAAUCCCAGCACUUUGGGAGUUGAGGUAGGAGGAUCACUUGAGGCCAGGAAUUCGAGACCAGCCUGGACAACAUUGCAAGACCUCAUCUCUACAAAAAAUUUUAAAAUUAGCUGGGCUGGUUAUGCAGGCUUGUAGUCUCAGCUACUCAGGAGGCUGGGGUGGGAAGAUUGAGCCCAGGAGUUCAAAGCUGCAGUAAGUUGUGAUCAUACCACUGCACUCCAGCCUGUGUACCAGAACAAGGCCCUGUCUCCAGAAAAAAAAGUGAUGAUGUAGGACAUAAGGUGGAAGAGGAACUAUGAAGGGCCUUAUAUUCCAGGCUAAAAAUGUGCUGACGUCAUAAGCCAAAGCAGGAGAGACCCAGACUCUGUGGACAGGCAGUGUGGACCUAGACUGCCUGGGUUUGAAGCCUCACUCUGCCAAUCACCAGGUGUCCCACCUUUUCCAAGUUACUUAACCUCAUCUCCAAGACAUGCCCAAUCACAAAGCCUACUUCAUAAAAUGGAGGGUUAAUUAAAUUAAUGUUCAUGAAGCCUUUAGUGGGUACGUGGUAAGCUCAAUGAUUAUUAGUUAAUAAUAUCCUUAUUAAACGUCCAGUAAGUCUUUUUUAAAUGUUAUUUUCUUUGAGAAAGGGUCUCACUCUGUCACCCAGGCUGGUUUGCAAUGGCACCAUCAUGGCUUACUGUAGCCUAGACCUCUUGGGCUCAAGCAAUUCUCCCAUCUCAGCCUCCCAAGUUGCUG
RNAcentral lists this long non-coding RNA (789 nucleotides) under Homo sapiens (human). RNAcentral's name for it is "HSALNT0321413". The record is from RNAcentral. Lineage: Eukaryota; Metazoa; Chordata; Mammalia; Primates; Hominidae.